RNAcentral lists this ribosomal RNA (371 nucleotides) under uncultured Rozellomycota. Its description in RNAcentral is "SSU rRNA". It matches the Rfam family "Eukaryotic small subunit ribosomal RNA", at positions 585 to 972 of the family's 1831-position model. Lineage: Eukaryota; Fungi; Rozellomycota. The record is from RNAcentral.
CCAGCUCCAAUAGCGUAUAUUAAAGUUGUUGCAGUUAAAAAGCUCGUAGUUGGACCUUAGGCAAGGCGGCCUGGUCGCCCACUGGGUGUACUGGGAUCGCUGCGCCUCACCUUCGGGGAGCUAGUCGUGCUUCGGUGCGCUAGGGAACCGAGCCUUACCUUGAGGAAAUUAGAGUGUUUAAAGCAGGCUUUUGCUUGAAUACGUUAGCAUGGAAUAACAUGAUAGGACUUUGGUUCUAUUUUGUUGGUUUGAGGACCAAAGUAAUGAUUAAUAGGGACAGUUGGGGGCAUUAGUAUUCAAUAGUCAGAGGUGAAAUUCUUGGAUUUAUUGAAGACUAACUAAUGCGAAAGCAUUUGCCAAGGAUGUUUUCA